GCCACCAAGCCUUCGAUGGAUAGGGGUUCUGAGAGGAAGGUCCCCCACAUUGGAACUGAGACACGGUCCAAACUCCUACGGGAGGCAGCAUG
Molecule: ribosomal RNA, 92 nt
Filed under: uncultured bacterium
Lineage: Bacteria
Description: partial 16S ribosomal RNA
Rfam family: Bacterial small subunit ribosomal RNA
Source: RNAcentral